This 256-nucleotide ribosomal RNA is filed under the name uncultured archaeon. Its description in RNAcentral is "partial 16S ribosomal RNA". It matches the Rfam family "Bacterial small subunit ribosomal RNA", at positions 521 to 776 of the family's 1533-position model. The record is from RNAcentral.
UAAUACGUAGGGUGCAAGCGUUAAUCGGAAUUACUGGGCGUAAAGCGUGCGCAGGCGGUUUUGUAAGUCAGAUGUGAAAUCCCCGGGCUUAACCUGGGAACUGCGUUUGAAACUACAAGGCUAGAGUGUGGCAGAGGGGGGUGGAAUUCCACGUGUAGCAGUGAAAUGCGUAGAGAUGUGGAGGAACACCGAUGGCGAAGGCAGCCCCCUGGGUUAACACUGACGCUCAGGCACGAAAGCGUGGGGAGCAAACAGG